GAUGAACGCUGGCGGCGUGCCUAAUACAUGCAAGUCGAGCGAACGGACGAGAAGCUUGCUUCUCUGAUGUUAGCGGCGGACGGGUGAGUAACACGUGGAUAACCUACCUAUAAGACUGGGAUAACUUCGGGAAACCGGAGCUAAUACCGGAUAAUAUUUUGAACCGCAUGGUUCAGAAGUGAAAGACGGUCUUGCUGUCACUUAUAGAUGGAUCCGCGCUGCAUUAGCUAGUUGGUAAGGUAACGGCUUACCAAGGCAACGAUGCAUAGCCGACCUGAGAGGGUGAUCGGCCACCCUGGAACUGAGACACGGUCCAGACUCCUACGGGAGGCAGCAGUAGGGAAUCUUCCGCAAUGGGCGAAAGCCUGACGGAGCAACGCCGCGUGAGUGAUGAAGGUCUUCGGAUCGUAAAACUCUGUUAUUAGGGAAGAACAUAUGUGUAAGUAACUGUGCACAUCUUGACGGUACCUAAUCAGAAAGCCACGGCUAACUACGUG
This 497-nucleotide ribosomal RNA is filed under the name uncultured bacterium. RNAcentral's name for it is "partial 16S ribosomal RNA". It matches the Rfam family "Bacterial small subunit ribosomal RNA", at positions 28 to 507 of the family's 1533-position model. The record is from RNAcentral.